UACAGAGGCCUCAAGCGUUAUCCGGAAUUAUUGGGCGUAAAGGGUGCGCAGACGGCGUAGUUAGUCUCUCGUUAAAGACCAAGGCUUAACCUUGGAAGUGCGGGGGAUACGGCUACGCUCGAGGAUGUAAGAGGUGAAUGGAACUCAUAGUGUAGGGGUGAAAUCCGUUGAUAUUAUGGGGAACACCAGAUGCGAAGGCAAUUCACUGGUACAUUCCUGACGUUCAUGCACGAAAGCGUGGGUAGCGAAUGGG
Molecule: ribosomal RNA, 253 nt
Filed under: uncultured bacterium
Lineage: Bacteria
Description: partial 16S ribosomal RNA
Rfam family: Bacterial small subunit ribosomal RNA
Source: RNAcentral